This 468-nucleotide ribosomal RNA is filed under the name uncultured bacterium. RNAcentral describes it as "partial 16S ribosomal RNA". It matches the Rfam family "Bacterial small subunit ribosomal RNA", at positions 28 to 507 of the family's 1533-position model. The record is from RNAcentral.
GAUGAACGCUGGCGGCGUGCUUAAUACAUGCAAGUCGAACGGAAAGGCCCUGCUUUUGCGGGUUGCUCGAGUGGCGAACGGGUGAGUAACACGUGAGUAACCUGUCCCUGACUUUGGGAUAACUUCAGGAAACAGGGGCUAAUACCGGAUAGGAGCUCUUGCUGCAUGUGGGUGGUUGGACAGUUUCGGUGGUAGGGGAUGGAUUGGCGGCUUAUCAGCUGGUUUGUGCGGUAGUGGCUUACAAAGGCUAUGACGGGUAGCCGGCCUCGGAGGGUGACCGGCGUCAUAGCGACUGCGAGAGGGCGCAGGCUCCAAUGCGACGCAAAGGUGGGGAGUAGUGCAAAAUAAAGGGAAGCCAGAUGCAGCAGCGUCGCGAGCGGGAAGACGGCUUUAGGGUGAAAAACCGAUUUCGCCUGUGACGAACAGAUCGUGACGGUAAUGGGUAAAGAAGCCACGGCUAACUACGUG